RNAcentral lists this ribosomal RNA (567 nucleotides) under uncultured bacterium. Its description in RNAcentral is "bacterial SSU rRNA". It matches the Rfam family "Bacterial small subunit ribosomal RNA", at positions 338 to 917 of the family's 1533-position model. The record is from RNAcentral.
CCUACGGGAGGCAGCAGUGGGGAAUUUUCCGCAAUGGACGAAAGUCUGACGGAGCGACGCUGCGUGAAGGAUGAAGGCCCGUGGGUUGUAAACUUCUUUUCUCGAAGAAGAAAAAAAUGACGGUAUUCGAGGAAUAAGCAUCGGCUAACUCUGUGCCAGCAGCCGCGGUAAGACAGAGGAUGCAAGUGUUAUUCGGAAUGAUUGGGCGUAAAGAGUCUGUAGGCGGUUUAGAAAGUCUUUUGUGAAAUACUUCAGCUCAACUGAGGCUCCGCAAAAGAAACUUCUAGACUUGAGGAAAGUAGAGGUACAGGGAAUUUCCGGUGGAGCGGUGAAAUGCGUAGAUAUCGGAAGGAACACCAAUAUGGCGAAGGCACUGUACUGGGCUUUUCCUGACGCUCAGAGACGAAAGCUGAAGGAGUGAUUAGGAUUAGAUACCCUAGUAAUUUCAGCCGUAAACGAUGAAAACUCACUGUCGAGCCAAUAUAUGGAGCGGUGGUCAAGCUAACGCGUGAAGUUUUCCGCCUGGGGAUUACGCUUGCAAAAGUGAAACUCAAAGGAAUUGACGGA